AUACGUAGGUGGCAAGCGUUGUCCGGAAUUAUUGGGCGUAAAGCGCGCGCAGGCGGAUCUGCCAGUCUAUCUUAAAAGUUCGGGGCUUAACCCCGUGAUGGGAUGGAAACUGUCAGGCUAGAGUGUCGGAGAGGAAAGCGGAAUUCCUAGUGUAGCGGUGAAAUGCGUAGAUAUUAGGAGGAACACCAGUGGCGAAAGCGGCUUUCUGGACGACAACUGACGCUGAGGCGCGAAAGCCAGGGGAGCAAACGAGAUUAGAUACCCCGGUAGUCCUGGCCGUAAACGAUGGGUACUAGGUGUAGGAGGUAUCGACCCCUUCUGUGCCGGAGUUAACGCAAUAAGUAUCCCGCCUGGGGAGUACGGCCGCAAGGCUGAA
This 376-nucleotide ribosomal RNA is filed under the name uncultured bacterium. RNAcentral's name for it is "bacterial SSU rRNA". It matches the Rfam family "Bacterial small subunit ribosomal RNA", at positions 523 to 898 of the family's 1533-position model. The record is from RNAcentral.